UCAUCAGCCACACCAUCCUUAAAAGAACUCACUGUAUGUUGCCAAAGUGAUAAGGUAGGAAAUAGAAUAAGUUGGAUAACUUUAGGAAAGGAGAUGGCAGCCUUAAUAUUUGUAUAGAUAAAGCCAUACACCCAGAAUUCCCACAUGGAUGAACAGAAACGCAUUUGAAACUGAGAGAGUUCAAGAAUGUGGCCAGAUACAAAAUAAGUACACAAAAUCAAGAGCUCCUGAGUAACGGGAAUGACCACUGAGAAAGUGCGUAAUAAUAAAAAUAGUCAUGCAUUCCACACAUGUUCGAGUUCCUGUGAUUUUCCUGGCACUGUGGUAGACACUGGACACACAGAGGAGAACUAAACAAGUGAGAUCCCGGCGCUCACAGAACCCACACUCUGCUGGGGAGGCCAACAGUCAGCACACACACAAGCCAAUGAAAACGAAAGACCACAAAAGGCUCCAGGCUCCCAUAGAGACUAAGGAGGGACCCGCUGUCAGCCAGGUGUGGUGAGGGCCUCUCUGAGGAGGCGACAUUAAGAUCUGACAGUUGAGAAUGAGGAAGGAGGCCAUUUGGGGCCUAGGGAACAGCAUGUGUGACUCAUGUACCUUGAACAAGCUGGGUCUGUUCAGGGAACAAAAAGACAUAGUGUGCUGGGAGUGGUGUGAGCUGAGAGACUGGGAGAGCGCCUGGAGUGAGGGUGGACGGGUGGGUUCAAGUCGGGGAAAGGCGCACCUGAUUCAGUUAUAAAAAGGUUAUUCUCGCUGCUGUGUGGGGAAACCAUCAGAGGCCUUGGGAUGUUUUGACUUUGGUUUCCUUCACUUCCAAUGGGUGGUCUCUGUCUCUUCUGUUAACUUCCAGGGGAAAAAUCUGUGAUUGACCUGGCUGAGACCUUCGCCCCAUACGGUCUUUGGUGGCUCAGAUGAACCAAUCCCAGUGCCUUCUAACAGUUGGAGAGUAAGAAGGAUCCUGGAGCGGGGGAACUUCUGACAGCUCCUGCUCAUCCCCGGAGAAGACAGAAGCCCAUCACCUGGUACACUUCAGAGGAACACGCACCUGACAGCCAAGGAGAACUGGGCAGUAGUCCUCGGAUGUUGGGCGUCAUUUUCCGUGGGCAGUUGGGAGUCACUGUGCUUCUCCCACAAAAACUCUUCUCACAGUCCAACUUGUAUACAAACCCAUCAGACUGCUAGCCCCAGGGCAGGUACCUACCUAUCUUCCUGUCCCAGUACUGAGGGGCUCAAUAACUAUUGUUAACCUGAAGACACCGAAAACCUUGACAGCGCUGAGCUUGUUACAGCACCAUCUUGCUGUGUGUCCAUGUGCAGGUGCAACUGUACGUGAGAUCAGCGGCCAACCACCACCCUUUCCCAGGCCACACUCCAUCAGCAAGAGACUAUGCUACACCCCAAGACGAGAUGCAGCCAAUAAACAUGUCUAUGUAUUGACCUGAAAAA
This 1449-nucleotide long non-coding RNA is filed under the name Homo sapiens (human). RNAcentral describes it as "HSALNT0312002". The record is from RNAcentral. Lineage: Eukaryota; Metazoa; Chordata; Mammalia; Primates; Hominidae.